UUUGAGAGUUUGAUCCUAGCUCAGGAUAAACGCUGGCGGCGUGCCUUAGGCAUGCAAGUCGAAUGCAGACGCAAGUCGUGCAUGGCAGACGGGUGAGUAACGCGUAGGAAUCUACCCCUUGGUGUGGAAUAACCCCGAGAAAUCGGGGAUAAUACCGCAUAAGUUCUCCGGAAGAAAGGCCAUAACUGGCCGCCGAGGGAGGAGCCUGCGUCCUAUCAGCUUGUUGGUGAGGUAAUGGCUCACCAAGGCUAUAACGGGUAGGGGGCGUGAGAGCGUGUCCCCCCACAAGGUCACUGAGACACGGGGCCUACACCUACGGGUGGCAGCAACUAGGAAUUUUGCGCAAUGGGCGAAAGCCUGACGCAGCGACGCCGCGUGCGGGAUGACGGCCUUUUUGGUUGUAAACCGCUGUGGAGAGGGAAGAUAAUGACGGUACCUCUCUAGAAAGCACCUGCUAACUACGUGCCAGAAGCCUCGGUGAUACGUAGGGUGCAAGCGUUAUCCGGAUUUACUGGGCGUAAAGAGUAUCGUAGGCGGCUGAAUAAGUGAUUGGUGAAAUCCUUGGGCUCAACCCAAGAACUGCCAGUCAUACUGUUUAGCUAGAGUGACUUCGGAAAGGUUGGAAUUCUCGGUGUAGGGGUGAAAUCCGUUGAUAUCGAGAAGAACACCAAGGGCGAAGGCAGAUCUUUAGGAGUUUACUGACGCUGAUGAACGAAAGCUUGGGGAGCAAAAGG
Molecule: ribosomal RNA, 734 nt
Filed under: Candidatus Beckwithbacteria bacterium
Lineage: Bacteria; Candidatus Beckwithiibacteriota
Description: bacterial SSU rRNA
Rfam family: Bacterial small subunit ribosomal RNA
Source: RNAcentral